RNAcentral lists this long non-coding RNA (219 nucleotides) under Mytilus galloprovincialis (Mediterranean mussel). Lineage: Eukaryota; Metazoa; Mollusca; Bivalvia; Mytilida; Mytilidae. The record is from RNAcentral.
CAAAAUAUUUUAAGGUCUCAUCGAUCUGUUCAAUGGUCAGUUCUAAGAUCUUCAUCGAUCGCGAUCGGGAUCAACGGAGUCUGUAUCCAGUCUUCGUUAUCAUAACCACAAAAUCAGUAAUGCUAUCAGACCGUAAACGAUAUUUAGGUAUCUGUUCUUCAAUCAAACUUAAUAUUUCUACUUCCGGGAAAUUUCCACUGCUACACAAAGAAAUAAAAU